UACGAGGGGGGCAAGCGUUGUCCGGAUUUAUUGGGCGUAAAGAGCGUGUAGGCGGCUAUACAGGUCCGUUGUGAAAACUCGAGGCUCAACCUCGAGACGCCGAUGGAAACCGUAUGGCUAGAGUCCGGAAGAGGAGAGCGGAAUUCCUGGUGUAGCGGUGAAAUGCGCAGAUAUCAGGAAGAACACCCGUGGCGAAGGCGGCUCUCUGGGACGGUACUGACGCUGAGACGCGAAAGCGUGGGGAGCGAACAGG
This 253-nucleotide ribosomal RNA is filed under the name uncultured bacterium. RNAcentral describes it as "partial 16S ribosomal RNA". It matches the Rfam family "Bacterial small subunit ribosomal RNA", at positions 524 to 776 of the family's 1533-position model. The record is from RNAcentral.